Long non-coding RNA from Musca domestica (house fly), 524 nucleotides. RefSeq lists it as uncharacterized. NCBI's taxonomy places the organism in Eukaryota, Metazoa, Arthropoda, Insecta, Diptera, Muscidae. The transcript is spliced from 3 exons. The record is from RefSeq and is a predicted model, not a curated record.
CUUAGCAUUGACAUAUAUGUAUUUUCCAAUCAAAAAAUUGUUUUACGAAUUGAAAAUUGAGAAUCUAAAUAUAUAAAAAUUAAAAAAUAAUACAUACAAUAGAACUGAAUAUUGCAAGCACGGCUGGCCAGUAAUAAAAUCUCAAGAUCCCGAUGAAUCGCUAUUUAAUUUAAGGAUGAUGUUCACAUCCAGUGAGGUAUCAGGAUGUCUUCUGUUCACUCAAAUUGACUAUUAUGGGGAAAUGGAUCCCACAUAAAUUCACAUUUAUUCCGCUUAACUAACCUAACAAUAAAAUCUCAAUAUCCCGAUAAGUCGAAAUUUUAUUUAAGUUGGACACUCAUACGCUGUGCCGACGGUACUCAUUACUUCGUGAUGAAAAAAUAAGGAUUUUAUGUGUUUGUUUCUCUUUCGAGACGAGCUUAAUGAUCUGAAAUUUGAAGUGAAAAGGAAAGCCAGAUAGACACUAUCACACACUCACCACCAUAUUUGGUGUGGAUGAUUAUAGUUUAAAUUUUUUAAGAUCU